This 423-nucleotide ribosomal RNA is filed under the name Gerris argentatus. RNAcentral's name for it is "partial 16S ribosomal RNA". The record is from RNAcentral. Lineage: Eukaryota; Metazoa; Arthropoda; Insecta; Hemiptera; Gerridae.
GAUAUGAACUCUCCGAAAAAAUUACGCUGUUAUCCCUAAGGUAAGUUAAUCUUAUAAUCAAAAAUUCUGGAUCAAAAAAACAUAAAUUAAUGAAUAAAAUAUUAAAAGUUAAAUAAAUUUUAAUGUCACCCCAACAAAACUUUAUAUUCUAAAAAAUUAUUUAAUAAACAAAAAAUAAUAAUUAAUAAAUAAAGUAAACUUCUAUAGGGUCUUCUCGUCCUAUAAAAAAAUUUUAGCUUUUUAACUAAAAAAUUAAAUUCAAAAUAAUUGAAAAAAGAAAGUUUAUUUUUCAUCAAACCAUUCAUACUAGCCUUCAAUUAAAAGACAAAUGAUUAUGCUACCUUCGUACAGUUAAAAUACCGCAGCCUUUUAAUUUAUAAAAAUCAAUGGGCAGGUCUGAUCUUAAAUUAAAAUCAAAAGACC